RNAcentral lists this long non-coding RNA (699 nucleotides) under Homo sapiens (human). RNAcentral's name for it is "non-protein coding lnc-MSANTD3-1:1". The record is from RNAcentral. Lineage: Eukaryota; Metazoa; Chordata; Mammalia; Primates; Hominidae.
GCCCGCAGCCGCGCGCAACCGGGGAGGCGGGAGCGGGAGCGGUAGGCCCCGCCCACAGAGGAGGGUACCCCGCCGGAAGCCCCCUGCUCUGUGGGAACCGGAGGGAGGACAGCGCGAGGUCCCCGGACAAAGCGUGGCGCAUAAGUCCGGCCCGUAACUUGGUGGGCAGGCAACUUAGGGGAUGUGGGCCUGGUUAUAGCUGAGCAUGCUUUUCUAUUCCUCCCAGACCACAGUUCUUCAGACCUGGAGCCACUUUCAGAGAAGAGUAUAAGUUGCACUGAAUUGAAAAAGGGAAAAGUUUAGGACUGCAGAAGAUGGAAUUCCUGGGGACGUUAAACUGGGCUAAGAUGGAGCAGAUAAGAUUUCCUUAAUUAGAGCAAGACACACCUAGUAUCUAGAGCCUGGAAGUCUUGGUCAAGGAUUCUCCCUAACAUCUCAGUUUCUCAGCACUAACAUUCCUGCUACUAAAAUGAAGUGAGAAAUUAAUUUCUGAAGUUAAGUAAAGAAAUAAACUAAAAUUCCUAGAAAAGAGGUAAGAAGAAUGAGCCUUUGAAAAAUGUCUUCACAAAGACUGGCAUGAUGGCAUGGAAGAAAGAGCCCCAGUAUCCAGUAUACAUCUCAAGGUCAACUUGUCCAAAACAGAGCUACUGAUGAUUUUCCCCUUGAAAUCUACUCUUCCUACAGCUUAUUCAUCUCAAA